This 490-nucleotide ribosomal RNA is filed under the name uncultured bacterium. RNAcentral's name for it is "partial 16S ribosomal RNA". It matches the Rfam family "Bacterial small subunit ribosomal RNA", at positions 30 to 507 of the family's 1533-position model. The record is from RNAcentral.
AUUGAACGCUGGCGGCAGGCCUAACACAUGCAAGUCGAACGGUAACAGGAAGAAGCUUGCUUCUUUGCUGACGAGUGGCGGACGGGUGAGUAAUGUCUGGCAAACUGCCUGAUGGAGGGGGAUAACUACUGGAAACGGUAGCUAAUACCGCAUAACGUCGCCAAACCAAAGAGGGGGACCUUCGGGCCUCUUGCCAUCGGAUGUGCCCAGGUGGGAUUAGCUAGUAGGUGGGGUAACGGCUCACCUAGGCGGCGAUCCCUAUCUGGUCUGAGAGGAUGACCAGCCACACGGGAACUGAGACGCGGUCCAGACUCCUACGGGAGGCAGCAGUGGGGAAUAUUGCACAAUGGGCGCAAGCCUGAUGCAGCCAGGCCGCGUGUAUGAAGAAGGCCUUCGGGUUGUAAAGUACUUUCAGCGGGGAGGAAGGGAGUAAAGUUAAUACCUAGGCUCAUUGACGUUACCCGCAGAAGAAGCACCGGCUAACUCCGUG